Molecule: ribosomal RNA, 429 nt
Filed under: Acidobacteriota bacterium
Lineage: Bacteria; Pseudomonadati; Acidobacteriota
Description: Acidobacteria bacterium partial 16S ribosomal RNA
Rfam family: Bacterial small subunit ribosomal RNA
Source: RNAcentral
UGGGGAAUUUUGGACAAUGGGGGAAACCCUGAUCCAGCCAUCCCGCGUGUGCGAUGAAGGCCUUCGGGUUGUAAAGCACUUUUGGCAGGAAAGAAACGUCAUGGGUUAAUACCCCGUGAAACUGACGGUACCUGCAGAAUAAGCACCGGCUAACUACGUGCCAGCAGCCGCGGUAAUACGUAGGGUGCAAGCGUUAAUCGGAAUUACUGGGCGUAAAGCGUGCGCAGGCGGUUCGGAAAGAAAGAUGUGAAAUCCCAGGGCUCAACUUUGGAACUGCAUUUAUAACUACCGGGCUAGAGUGUGUCAGAGGGAGGUGGAAUUCCGCGUGUAGCAGUGAAAUGCGUAGAUAUGCGGAGGAACACCGAUGGCGAAGGCAGCCUCCUGGGAUAACACUGACGCUCAUGCACGAAAGCGUGGGGAGCAAACAGG